Long non-coding RNA from Canis lupus familiaris (dog), 1200 nucleotides. RefSeq lists it as uncharacterized. Lineage: Eukaryota; Metazoa; Chordata; Mammalia; Carnivora; Canidae. The record is from RefSeq and is a predicted model, not a curated record. The transcript is spliced from 7 exons.
UUUUUAUUCUGUUUCCUUGAAUCAAUCAUCAGCACCAUCACAGGGUUCUUACCCAUUCUCAAAGGAUCUAGGCUUCACCUGGGAGAUAAAGGAAGCAGAAGAGAGAGAAAACUAGGGAGCUAUAUAUUUUUCUUUCAUUUGACAGAUAUAUUAGAUCUGUUAGCUCAUUGCUGAAAGAAAGGGAAUAGAGGAUUUGUGUUUGACAAUGUGGGCCAAAGGGAGUCUAUCUUAUUAAUGAACUAGCUCCCCAUAGCAUUUCUUAGGAGUGCUGAUCUUGGAUGACCUGAGAAGAAAUAUGUUCUGCCAGAAUAAUCUCAUUUUUGUACAUCCAGUCAUUAUACUAAACUUGGUUACAACAGCAAAAAGCUAGAGCACUGAGUUUGUAUCUUCACAAUCAUAAAAUAUCUCAUCAACUAAAUCAGUGAAAACAGUGAAAGACCACAAACAAAGCCCCAGUCUUGAAGAGACUGAGUCCAGAAUAUUGGAGUCUUGCUCAUGGGCACCAUUCCCUGAUCUGGGCUACUCUUCCUGGUGUUGCCCUCCUACAGUCUGCCUAGGAAUAGUCUGGGGCCAGUGCACCUGAGAACAGUUUAUGGCAUCUGUGUGCUACCCACCUAGGGCAGUACCUGCUGACUUGCUUCCAGCCCUGCAAAGGAAGGAGAGUGAAGCUUCUAUGAAGAAACUGAAGUUAGAAUAUUGCAAUCCCUCACCGAAGGCCACAGAUGGUAUUGGUCAAGAUGAAGAAACUCAAGCUCCAAGAAGUUAAAAUGACCUGGCCAAGGGAGCUACCAGGCUGUCGGCAAACUGCUAGUCCUUAAGCCCUGUGCUCAUACUAAGAUGUGCUAUUUCUCAGAGCUAUAAGGCAGAGCAUAUAGGAGGCCACAGUACUCUAUGAAGUCAUAAGGCAAGAAGAUGUUUUGGAGCAGAAAACCAUGUGCAGGGCCUGGAGAUUGAGGAUAACUUUCUGAGAUUCAGUGUGUCAAAGAAAGAUCUUUAUGCCUAGAAGCACAAGGAUUUUGCUGUCUACUUCUUUCUUUUCCCUUGGACCUCCCAAGAUGACUGAGCCAGCCCCAUUCCAUGAGGAAAGGAGAAUGGGAGAAAGGUCUAAAGUCAUCCACUUCAAGUUUCAAGGAUGGCUCCCCAUGGAGUUGAUUGAUAUGUUGCCGAUGAAGACUAUCCCAUCAUAAAAAACACUGUGUG